AUCGUAACUCCUACGGGAGGCAGCAGUGGGGAAUUUUGGACAAUGGACGGAAGUCUGACCGAGCAACGCCGCGUGAGUGAAGAAGGUUUUCGGAUCGUAAAGCUCUGUUGUAAGAGAAGAACGAGUGUGAGAGUGGAAAGUUCACACUGUGACGGUAUCUUACCAGAAAGGGACGGCUAACUACGUGCCAGCAGCCGCGGUAAUACGUAGGUCCCGAGCGUUGUCCGGAUUUAUUGGGCGUAAAGCGAGCGCAGGCGGUUAGAUAAGUCUGAAGUUAAAGGCUGUGGCUUAACUAUAGUAGGCUUUGGAAACUGUUUAACUUGAGUGCAAGAGGGGAGAGUGGAAUUCCAUGUGUAGCGGUGAAAUGCGUAGAUAUAUGGAGGAACACCGGUGGCGAAAGCGGCUCUCUGGCUUGUAACUGACGCUGAGGCUCGAAAGCGUGGGGAGCAAACAGGAUUAGAAACCCUGGUAGUCCUAGAGC
Molecule: ribosomal RNA, 481 nt
Filed under: uncultured bacterium
Lineage: Bacteria
Description: bacterial SSU rRNA
Rfam family: Bacterial small subunit ribosomal RNA
Source: RNAcentral